CUUUCCUCCAAGUUCUACUAACGAGCAAGAGGGGAAAUCGUGAAACCUACAGUUUCUGACUACAGAAAUGCCGUUAAGAGGACUGCUGACUUCCCGAACAACUCGAGUGGUAUUGGGAGGGUAAAGUCUACCUGAGAGGAUGCAAGUACCUUGGAUAUUUAAAAUAAAAGCAGACUGUGUUUUAAAGGCAAGUGAUGUAAAAUUUGUGAUUAAGAAUACUUUUAGAUGUUUAUUA
Non-coding RNA from Peromyscus maniculatus bairdii (prairie deer mouse), 235 nucleotides. Lineage: Eukaryota; Metazoa; Chordata; Mammalia; Rodentia; Cricetidae. The record is from RefSeq and is a predicted model, not a curated record.